GUGUCACUCUCCUGCUCAACAGAUUCCUACAUCUAGAUUUGGUUACCGUCAGGGAACGAAACAGAGCUGCAAAACACCAAAGUAAUAAUUGUUUUCUUCCAUUCAAUUACACUGCUGAACAUGCACAGCAUGGUGACAGCUAAGCAGUACGCACGUCAUCAAGGCCAAUUUCCAAAUAUGGGAGGUGUUAUGUAUGAAAUUUGACACAGUUCCUCUUCUCUGAUCGGCUCGAGACAUAGCUCAUCGGAAUCAGUGCCCAAUUCUCCUUCGGAUAAGCCAUACUUAUUUUUGGCGUUCAGUUUCCCUUUAACGGAAUACUCAAUGACAGGUGAUCUCUGAGUUGACCAGUUUCCUUCGAUUCAUUUGCUUAUGCUCACCCUUUCAUUUACGGAAACGUGUGCUGAACUGCUGAUUGUAUUCGGAUUUAGAGCCAUUUCUAUCUCUUUGCCCUUGCCUACAGUGUGCGGAGAUCGGGAGUUCACCUUCUUGACGUUGCCGUCAUGUUGCUAAAGAAAGGUUCAGUGCCUCAUUUGUUUCAUACGAGACGAGUCAAUGGGUCGGUGUGGCGUAGAAUCUUUCGCUGUAGAAGAAAUCUAUUCAUACCGGAAAAUCGUGGACUAACAGUUUGAAGUCAUUGAACUACUUCCAAAAGUUGUAUCGACAUCAACAGGAUUACGAUUUCAGUGCAAUAUAAUACAGGAUGACCUUAUCACGAUAACCCUUGAUUAUAAACAAUUAUAAGCACAGAAUCAACAAAAACAUCUGCGAUA
Molecule: long non-coding RNA, 770 nt
Organism: Sycon ciliatum
Lineage: Eukaryota; Metazoa; Porifera; Calcarea; Leucosolenida; Sycettidae
Exons: 3
Source: RefSeq, a predicted model, not a curated record